GACAGAGGGGGCGAGCGGUGUCCGGAGUCACUGGGCGUAAAGCGCGCGCAGGCGGCAACCUUAGUGUCGUGUGAAAGCCCCCGGCUCAACCGGGGGAGGCCAUGGCAAACUGGGUCGCUCGAGCUGCGGAGAGGCCCCUCGAAUUGCCGGUGUAGCGGUGAAAUGCGUAGAGAUCGGCAGGAAGACCAAGGGGGAAGCCAGGGGGCUGGCCGCAGGCUGACGCUGAGGCGCGACAGCGUGGGGAGCAAACCGG
RNAcentral lists this ribosomal RNA (253 nucleotides) under uncultured bacterium. RNAcentral describes it as "partial 16S ribosomal RNA". It matches the Rfam family "Bacterial small subunit ribosomal RNA", at positions 524 to 776 of the family's 1533-position model. The record is from RNAcentral.